CUCACACAAGCAGCGGAGCGUGUGGUUUAAUUCGUUGCUACACGAAGAACCUUACCUGGGUUUGACAUAGCAGUGGUAGGGAAGCGAAAGCGGACGACCUUCGGGAGCUGUUACAGGUGUUGCAUGGCUGUCGUCAGCUCGUGUCGUGAGAUGUUCGGUUAAGUCCGCUAACGAGCGCAACCCGCGUUGUGUGUUACAAGUGUCACACAAUACCGCCGGUAUUAAGUCAGAGGAAGGUGCGGAUGACGUCAAGUCAGCAUGACCUUUAUAUCCAGGGCUACACACACGCUACAAUGGUCAGCACAAUAGGUUGCCAAGUCGUGAGACGGAGCCAAUCCUCCAAAGCUGGCCUCAGUUCAGAUUGUAGGCUGCAACCCGCCUGCAUGAAGUUGGAGUUGCUAGUAACCGCAGGUCAGCUAUACUGCGGUGAAUACGUUCCCGGGGAUU
This 447-nucleotide ribosomal RNA is filed under the name uncultured Anaerolineaceae bacterium. RNAcentral's name for it is "bacterial SSU rRNA". It matches the Rfam family "Bacterial small subunit ribosomal RNA", at positions 920 to 1378 of the family's 1533-position model. The record is from RNAcentral. Lineage: Bacteria; Bacillati; Chloroflexota; Anaerolineae; Anaerolineales; Anaerolineaceae.